RNAcentral lists this ribosomal RNA (451 nucleotides) under uncultured bacterium. Its description in RNAcentral is "partial 16S ribosomal RNA". It matches the Rfam family "Bacterial small subunit ribosomal RNA", at positions 29 to 523 of the family's 1533-position model. The record is from RNAcentral.
AACGGACGCUGGCGGCAGGCUUAACACAUGCAAGUCGAACGGGUGUAGCAAUACAUCAGUGGCAGACGGGUGAGUAACACGUGGGAACCUUCCUAGGGGUACGGAACAACUCAGGGAAACUUGAGCUAAUACCGUAUACGUCCGUGAGGAGAAAGAUUUAUCGCCCUUAGACGGGCCCGCGUAGGAUUAGGUAGUUGGUGAGGUAACGGCUCACCAAGCCGACGAUCCUUAGCUGAUCUGAGAGGAUGAUCAGCCACACUGGGACUGAGACACGGCCCAGACUCCUACGGGAGGCAGCAGUGGGGAAUCUUGGACAAUGGGCGCAAGCCUGAUCCAGCCAUGCCGCGUGAGUGAAGAAGGCCUUCGGGUUGUAAAGCUCUUUUGUCAGGGACGAUAAUGACGGUACCUGAAGAAUAAGCCCCGGCAAACUUCGUGCCAGCCGCCGCCGUAA